GUCUACGGCCGUGCCACCCUGAACACUCCCGACCUCGUCUCAUCUCAGAAGCUAAGCAGGGUCGGACCUGGUUAGUACUCGCGUAGGAAAGCAGGAGGGUCC
Molecule: non-coding RNA, 102 nt
Organism: Pongo abelii (Sumatran orangutan)
Lineage: Eukaryota; Metazoa; Chordata; Mammalia; Primates; Hominidae
Source: Rfam